GAUGAACGCUGGCGGCGUGCCUAAUACAUGCAAGUCGAGCGAACAGACGAGGAGCUUGCUCCUCUGACGUUAGCGGCGGACGGGUGAGUAACACGUGGAUAACCUACCUAUAAGACUGGGAUAACUUCGGGAAACCGGAGCUAAUACCGGAUAAUAUAUUGAACCGCAUGGUUCAAUAGUGAAAGACGGUUUUGCUGUCACUUAUAGAUGGAUCCGCGCCGCAUUAGCUAGUUGGUAAGGUAGCGGCUUACCAAGGCAACGAUGCGUAGCCGACCUGAGAGGGUGAUCGGCCACACUGGAACUGAGACACGGUCCAGACUCCUACGGGAGGCAGCAGUAGGGAAUCUUCCGCAAUGGGCGAAAGCUUGACGGAGCAACGCCGCGUGAGUGAUGAAGGUCUUCCGAUCGUAAAACUCUGUUAUUAGGGAAGAACAAAUGUGUAAGUAACUAUGCACGUCUUGACGGUACCUAAUCAGAAAGCCACGGCUAACUACGUG
This 497-nucleotide ribosomal RNA is filed under the name uncultured bacterium. RNAcentral describes it as "partial 16S ribosomal RNA". It matches the Rfam family "Bacterial small subunit ribosomal RNA", at positions 28 to 507 of the family's 1533-position model. The record is from RNAcentral.